GGAAAAGAAAACAUUCCACCAGCAUCAAGCAGAAUCUGCUCUAUAUCAAUUUGAAAAGUUCAUAAACCAAACAUUAUUUUAAAAGUUCAAGAACUACACGCACAUCAUCAUAUAAUGGAAGUGCUUAGUUUCCAAAAUACGCUAUGUAAUUCCUCAGGCUGAUUCCAAUCACCACCACAUUCCAGAAUGCAGCAUUUUGGGACAUGAGAGUUACCAGAAAUGCUACAGAAGCAAAAGAAUUGGCUAACAUGCUGUAAG
Mauremys reevesii (Reeves's turtle) is the source of this 258-nucleotide long non-coding RNA. RefSeq lists it as uncharacterized. Lineage: Eukaryota; Metazoa; Chordata; Testudines; Geoemydidae. The record is from RefSeq and is a predicted model, not a curated record. The transcript has 3 exons.